CAUUACACAUUCAACAUAAAGUUUUUGUUUGAGCUUCAUCACUAAUGUUUUUGUGAGGUACUGUAUCAGUGUAUCUAGCCUUAAAUUCUCCAUAUGUUUCUUUUUUCUCUGUGUCUCUAACCUUAAAUUCUCUCUUUAACUCUUCGUUUCUACAAAAACACCUCCCUCUGGAACACUAGAUGCUACAAAAACGGAGGCCCAUGAAAUUGAGUGAUGAGCUGGAAGUCACGGUGGGCUGGAGCUAUUUGACUGGAGAAAGAGAAUUCAUCUAGUGCAAAGUUUGAUGGUUAGCUAUUAUACCACUAGAUUUAUCAUAGUUAUGGUUAUGUUGACUGUGUCUAUUCUAGUUCUACCACCGGUGCUGCCACCAUUACCACCGCCACCAUUGGUUCUUCUCUUUGUACCAGUCAUGAUCAUGUCCCUUCUUGUUUUGCUGGCCUUAAGUCCAAUAUCACAAAUGCCCAACGUCUCCACCAACAGUGCAAUUUGAUUAUGGAAGGAAUCCUCGAGACUUGUGGGUUUCUCUUUCAUCUUCAAUUUCGCUGCAGCCUUCUUGAAUAUUUGUGCUAAAAGAUUAAACUUUGGUAUAUAUAUCACCUACCUUCUUGUUUUCCUGGCCUCAACUCCAUCACAAUCUUUUUCUUGGUUUUGCUGCUUCUUUUUUAUGAAUAAAACAUUUUGAUGAUUUGGUUUUGUUUGCUUCCUUUACUAAUAAUAGAGGAGAUUCAGAUUCUCUACUAAUCAUGUAAAAAUCUUGAAGGGAAAGAGAGAUUCAUACAUGCUCAAGCAUACUUUCCAGAAUUAGGUGAUUCAUGGAGUGUAUAAAAGAAACAUCUUCCACUUUAAUUAUGAAUAUAUACAAGAUGGUGUUGAAGAUUCUCCAUAGUUGUAUUAUUUUCUUGCUAUUUGAUUACUAUCCUAACCAGGCAUGGCCCAAGUCCUUUUGUUUUUGUAUUGCAGCUUAGAACAAUUAAUAUCGCUUUUAAUUUCUGAUAAUGUAGAACAAUGGCCUUAAGUUCUCGUUCUAUGGCCACAAGAAGUUAUCGCCAAAAGAACGCUAUCUCCAUGUAAUGAAGAAUCCAUGAUUUGAUUAAUAUCUGAUGGCAAAUCGAGAUUGGUAAAAGAGAUUGUCAUUAUGAUAAGAAAUUCCAGCUCUCAAUUAACGCAUCGCGUCAAAGUAUAAGGUUGACUCCCAAACGGAUAGCGACGAGUUUGUGAAACGUCGCCGAACCUCUGACGCCUUAAAUGUCGCUCUAAAUUCCCAUAGAAAGCAAAUUUCAGCUUUUCACAAAAGAGGAGCUGAGCACAAACCCGCAAGGAUUCUGUGAACUACGGGCGAUAUUCAAGGAGUAAGGUAAUCUGUGGUACAUCUUGUAGGACAGGGGAUAUAAAUUAUUGAUUGAUUUUGGCUUGAGGAUUCAUGUAAUCCUUGCCGAAAUCUAGCAUGCUUGCGUGCAAUUUGUUCUUCUUUUUCUUUGAGAUAUUGCUUGUUAAAUUUUACAAUAUCAUUUGGUUGUUAAUUCAAGCAUUAUCCUCAUUAAUAU
Populus euphratica (Euphrates poplar) is the source of this 1544-nucleotide long non-coding RNA. RefSeq lists it as uncharacterized. Lineage: Eukaryota; Viridiplantae; Streptophyta; Magnoliopsida; Malpighiales; Salicaceae. The transcript is spliced from 2 exons. The record is from RefSeq and is a predicted model, not a curated record.